This 1080-nucleotide ribosomal RNA is filed under the name Triticum aestivum (bread wheat). Its description in RNAcentral is "partial small subunit ribosomal RNA". Lineage: Eukaryota; Viridiplantae; Streptophyta; Magnoliopsida; Poales; Poaceae. The record is from RNAcentral.
AUGGAUGACGCGCUGUCGCAGAUUAGCGAGGCGUUCCGGCUCGCCGGCGAGCUCAUGGGUGAGCUCCAGGCCACCCAGAACGGCCCGGCCUACAUCGCCGCACGCUGCCACGGCAUUGUCCAUGCCUACAACAGAGCCAUCCGCAUGUUGCAGCACUACGGCGUGGGCGACGUGGCCGCAGCCGCCGCGCCGCGUGAGCUCGACGCCGGGCCGCGAGACAUCCUGCGCCUGUGCAGCACGGAUGAAGCCGGCGCCAGCCAGUUUCUCGGAGAGACUCCGGCGCAUUUGGCCCACCGGAAGGAGCCAUUCCACAUGCCGGCCGGCGUGUUCGGUGCGCGAGUGGCGCCACAGCAUACGAUGUGCGCGGGGGCGGGCGUCGCCGGCACGUCCGGUGGCCCGAUGAGGAGGCUGCCGUCGUCCAGGUCUCCGCCAGCGGUCCAGCCACGGCAGGGCAGGAGGAGGAGGGAAAGCGGGAAGAGGGAGAUGGUGUUGGUACCUGCACAGCGGACGGGCAACACUGAACUUCCACCAGACGACGGAUACACGUGGCGCAAGUACGGCCAAAAAGAUAUUCUCGGCUCAAGGUACCCAAGGAGCUACUAUCGGUGCACUCAUAAGAACUACUAUGGUUGUGAUGCGAAGAAGAAGGUGCAGCGCUUGGAUGACGACACCUUCAUGUACGAGGUAACAUAUUGUGGCGACCACAGCUGCCUCACUUCCAUCACCCCGUUACUCAUGCUCCCCACAGCUAGCACCACAACCUCUGCUGCCAACUCUCCAACCGCCGCGACAGGCUCCGGCCUCCCCACUAGAGACCUCCCCAUGGAACUGGCUGAGAGGACGCACUCGGCCGCGUUGUCCAUGCCAGUCAAGCUCGACAUUAGCUGGAUGCCGGCAAGCUUCCAAGGCCAUUUGGCGGGCUCUGGCACUGGCAUGGGGAGCAUCGCCAACAUGAAGAUGAACGUGUCCACCGCACCGAGGGACACGAAUUUCCCGACGCUGGAUCUCGGAGACGUCAUGUUCAACUUCGGCAGCAGCAUGGACCACAUUUUCUCUUCUUAUGAUCGACAUAAUAAAUAG